ACGGGUGAGUAAUGUCUGGGAAACUGCCUGAUGGAGGGGGGUAACUACUGGAAACGGUAGCUAAUACCGCAUAACGUCGCAAGACCAAAGAGGGGGACCGUUCGGGCCUCUUGCCAUCGGAUGUGCCCAGAUGGGAUUAGCUAGUAGGUGGGGUAACGGCUCACCUAGGCGACGAUCCCUAGCUGGUCUGAGAGGAUGACCAGCCACACUGGAACUGAGACACGGUCCAG
This 230-nucleotide ribosomal RNA is filed under the name uncultured bacterium. RNAcentral describes it as "partial 16S ribosomal RNA". It matches the Rfam family "Bacterial small subunit ribosomal RNA", at positions 102 to 334 of the family's 1533-position model. The record is from RNAcentral.